GACGAACGCUGGCGGCGUGCCUAACACAUGCAAGUCGAGCGGGAACCUCAGGAGGGGUAACCCUUCUGAGGGGAGAGCGGCGAACGGGUGAGUAACACGUGGGCAACCUGCCCCGGACACCGGGAUAACCCAGGGAAACCUGAGCUAAUACCGGAUACUCCGGCGCGAUCGCAUGGUCGUGCCGGGAAAGCUCCGACGGUCCGGGAUGGGCCCGCGGCCUAUCAGCUUGUUGGUGGGGUAACGCCCACCAAGGCGACGACGGGUAGCUGGUCUGAGAGGACGGCCAGCCACACUGGGACUGAGACACGGCCCAGACUCCUACGGGAGGCAGCAGUGGGGGAUCUUGCGCUAAUGCGCGAAAGCGUGACGCAGCGACGCCGCGUGGGGAUGAAGGCCUCGG
This 400-nucleotide ribosomal RNA is filed under the name uncultured bacterium. Its description in RNAcentral is "bacterial SSU rRNA". It matches the Rfam family "Bacterial small subunit ribosomal RNA", at positions 28 to 420 of the family's 1533-position model. The record is from RNAcentral.